UUACAUCCGAGUCGCCUGUGCCCGGGGUGUGUGUACGUGUGUGCAUGCGCGCCAGGGACAGGAUGAUUUCACGUUGCUCUAUUUUCUCAGAAGAUGGGAUUUUCUUACAAUUUUGGGAAAUCAUUUUCAGAAAACCCACUUUUCCCUCCGUCGUUCUGCAGUGCACAGGCUGGGCUUGAACUCCUGAACCUCCUGCCUCAGCCGCCACGUCACCCUGCGCGGGGGGUCCCCGCGAGCUCCUUAACUCCUCGACCCAGACCGACGCGGCGACCCACUUGCUUUUGGCUUGGCUUGGGCAGUGUGCGAUCGGAGCACCAGGGGGCGCUCUGCCACCGCCGGAGCUAGGCUGAGUCUCCAGGGGUGGCCGGCCACUGGCAGGGAGACCUGGCCCCGCGCAACGGACGAGGUGAAGCUGCCGGCCAAGCUGAGUGUGAGCAAGUCGCUGAAGGACGCCGAGGCUCUGCCCGAGGGAGAAGACGCGGGUGAGGGCACGCGGCCCGAGGAUGAGGAGGACGCGGCGGCCCCCGAGCUGUCGUCCGAUGAGGCGGUGGAGGUGGAAGAGGUAAUCGAGGAGUCGCGCGCGGAACGGAUCCGGCGCAGCGGG
Fukomys damarensis (Damara mole-rat) is the source of this 604-nucleotide long non-coding RNA. RefSeq lists it as uncharacterized. The transcript is spliced from 3 exons. NCBI's taxonomy places the organism in Eukaryota, Metazoa, Chordata, Mammalia, Rodentia, Bathyergidae. The record is from RefSeq and is a predicted model, not a curated record.